CGUAGGUCUCAUAGCUAUUUGUGUGUUAUCCUGAGGUCGAGAGUUCGAGCCUCUCUCACCCCAUUCC
This 67-nucleotide small RNA is filed under the name Helianthus annuus (common sunflower). RNAcentral describes it as "sRNA HanXRQr2_Chr14g0666831". The record is from RNAcentral. Lineage: Eukaryota; Viridiplantae; Streptophyta; Magnoliopsida; Asterales; Asteraceae.